AGCGCAUGGAGUUCGAAUGAACUGCAGCAGAGCUAGAGGGAACUGCUGUGGGGUGUGGCCAAAGACUUCAUUGGUGCUUUCUCAUCAUUACAAGUUUUCAGAUGCUGGCCAGUCACUUCUUCCAAGGCUUCAAACACAUGACCAGACUGCUGCAACUACACUGUGUGUGUGUGUACUUUAAUCACUAAGACUUAAGUUACCAGAUCUAGUCUGUAUCCAGAUCAGAUACGCCCUUGACAGCUCUGAAUGUCAGCUGAGACAAGACAACUAGAUGAGCCCCAGAGAAAGAUCCCCUCCGCCCUCAUCGCCUAGACAGCCAUUGGGACAAGACCACAGGAACCAAACCAGUCCUCUGCACAAUCUGACAUGUGUUGCAGUCUGCAAUUCAUGAGUUCACACUUACAGAUAAUGUACAGAGUAAAGGUUAUGCGUAUUUGGCGUGCUUUCUGAGGAGAGGGCUCCAAGCGCUCCUCCUGAGUGUUCCUCCCUGUGCUGGGGUAGGAACAGGCUGAAGGUGAGGAGUCGGGGUGGUGGAGGGAUACUGAAAGACUAGAAAUAAUGAAGGUAUGGCUGCGUUGAUAAUUUAUAGGGGUUCUCUCUUGUGCUGAUUAGAUAGAUGGUGUAAUUACUGAUGAUGAACUGGCCGUGUUAAUUAUCUGUGCAUGCUCUUCCCGAAAUUUGUUAAUAAAACAUUACUUAAACUGCUGGAUUCAUCUGGCCAGAGAAGAAUGAUGGAGUUUUGGUUUCUUCGACAUAUGAUUUUUCUGUUUAAUACUGGAAAGCUGCUUUGACAUACCUGUAAUCUGUAAUAGCCUAGUGCUGGGCGGUAUACUGGUUUUUACUGAUUACCGGUGUUUCUUUUUCUUAUGAUAUGAAUUUUUAAAGUACCGCAAUGCUGGUUGUUUAAAUAAUGUUCGGAACGCGUUUGAGAGGGGUCUCUUUUGACGUUGCACUGUGGCUAGGACACAGCUGUAUGUUACUAAGUGUGAAAGUUCCAAGACUGAAGCUGUCCCAUGCAGGCCGGAUGUGGGCCAAAACUGCUUGCUGUCCGGACGUAGAACUUGUAGAACGUGAUGACACAGAAGAACUCGUCCACAGUAUCCACUGACCGCCACAUCCACCGCCUGCUGCCAUCAGCUCCUGCGCCUUACACACACGAGCGCAACUUCAGCGCUAGAUUUAGACUACAUCUUCUUUUAUCCGGGUGCAUUUGAAAACGGCAUUUUCGUUUUAAAACGCUCUCCGUCCGCACUAGCAUUUUCUAGCGUUUUGCAAACUUUGUCUCGUCAACACUGAAACUUUAAAAAAAGGUUAUAUUUCUGCGCAUGCGCAAAUCCUCGAAAAAGCUCACUGCAGAUGAUACGAAAGAACAGACAUGAUAAAUUUGUAUGCAGUUCUUCUGACAGGAUUAUUUUAUUUAUGAAAAGAUCCCACCAUUCACUGAUGCAACCAGGUCGCACACAUGAUUGUUUGUCUGAUCUAAAAUGCAACUGCCUUCAUGUUUUGUUGUAAAUAGCAAU
Molecule: long non-coding RNA, 1520 nt
Organism: Carassius auratus (goldfish)
Lineage: Eukaryota; Metazoa; Chordata; Actinopteri; Cypriniformes; Cyprinidae
Exons: 3
Source: RefSeq, a predicted model, not a curated record